Talpa occidentalis (Iberian mole) is the source of this 1202-nucleotide long non-coding RNA. RefSeq lists it as uncharacterized. The transcript is spliced from 3 exons. Lineage: Eukaryota; Metazoa; Chordata; Mammalia; Eulipotyphla; Talpidae. The record is from RefSeq and is a predicted model, not a curated record.
UGUGAGCUAAGCAGCUCCCAAAGACCUUACCUCCUGAGAUGAUACAUCAGACAUGAGGUUCCACAAGGGAAUUUGAGGAGGAGACCAAUUCAGAACACAGCAGACUCCAGUUAAUAAACUAUGAAAGGCACUGAGGGGGCAACACAAAUGCAUAAGUACAGAGAUGAUGUCGCAUGGAUAGAUUGAAAAGAAACCAAAAACGGCUAAAAGUGGUCCUCCCAACAGGAAAGAUGGAGAGGGAUGAUAGAUGAAGAAUGUAAACCUGCAAGUCAUGGAUAACAUCAAAAUUAUGGAAGAAGAUCGCAAGUAGUCUGAAGAAAUCUUGCAGAUAUUUCAUGUAUCUUUAAGCCACAGGAAGAGAUUUCUAAGGAGCUGGAGUUCCAACAGUCGCUGCACGUGUUCUUUCUCACGAUACCUCAGGCAGGAAAUUCUUCAGUUUGAUAAAUAGCAUACAAUUUUAUGGAUCGUUUAUUGAAGAUAUGCCUUUCCAUAUUUGCCUCAGCAACUUACUAGAAUGUGGAUUCCUCAGUUUUGUUUGGAGUGCCUAGUAGAGAAUAUGAUACCUACUAAGUGGUCAAUUAAUUUGAGAAAUUAGCAGAGAUAAGGAGGAAUGAAAGAAGAAAAAGAGAGAGUGGGGAAAGAAAGGUGAUACCUGUUCUUACCAAUUUAUUUGAGAUCUAAAGAGAGCUGAACAAUGAGACUAUACAGGUUUGAUUUAAACCCCCACCUACUAGGGGCUUGAUAUAAGCUAAUUACUAUGCCAUCCAUUUUACAUAAAUUCUCUUUGAGAUUACUGGAUAAUCCUAACAGGUUAGAAAUAUUAUCCCCAAGUUCAACUGAGAAAACAGAUAUUUUGAAAGGACAAAUAAGUUGUCUCAGCUCAUAAAGCUAAACUGAGCUCGGAAUCUACUGCUUUUUCUGAUCUCCAAACCUCUGCUUAUAACACAGUGCUACUUGAACGUAUGUCAGAAAUGAAACUCAGUUCAACGUAGUUGUAUUUUGCUUAUACACAGUGUCUUCUAGCACAUGAAGAAAAUCCCCACAGCAUGGAAAUCAACUUGUUGAAAUCAGUGUCAAAAUCAUGUGCAGAGCAAUGUGUUCAUCAGUUCAUUUUUAAUGACUCUCACAUACCAACCAAGUCUACUUAAAUAUAAUAGCCCUGUAAAAACAAACUGUGUCUAACCCAGAUUCCUUGUACUAUA